GCGGGGGUCGCCUAGCCUGGUAGGGCGUGGGAUUGCUAAUCCCAUGUCCGUAAGGACCCGUGGGUUCAAAUCCCAUCCCCCGCG
RNAcentral lists this transfer RNA (84 nucleotides) under Nitrososphaerota archaeon. RNAcentral's name for it is "Thaumarchaeota archaeon (freshwater metagenome) tRNA-Ser". It matches the Rfam family "tRNA". Rfam says of the family: Transfer RNA (tRNA) molecules are approximately 80 nucleotides in length. Lineage: Archaea; Thermoproteati; Nitrososphaerota. RNAcentral also lists the same sequence under 5 other names. The record is from RNAcentral.